UGCAGUCGAGGGGUAACAUGAAGUGCUUGCACUUCGAUGACGACCGGCGCACGGGUGCGCACCGCGUAUGGAACCUACCUUUUACAGGGGAAUAGCCCAGGGAAACUUGGAUUAAUGCCCCGUAGUACCUUUUGUAGCAUUACAAGACGGUUAAAGGCUUCGGCCGGUAGAAGAUGGCCAUGCGUCCCAUUAGUUAGUUGGUAAGGUAACGGCUUACCAAGACGGCGAUGGGUAGGGGCCCUGAGAGGGGGAUCCCCCACACUGGUACUGAGACACGGACCAGACUCCUACGGGAGGCAGCAGUGAGGAAUAUUGGACAAUGGAGGAGACUCUGAUCCAGCCAUGCCGCGUGCAGGAAGAAUGCCCUAUGGGUAGUAAACUGCUUUUAUACGGGAAGAAAAAGGGGUACGUGUACCCCACUGACGGUACCGUAAGAAUAAGGAUCGGCUAACUCCGUGCCAGCAGCCGCGGUAAUACGGAGGGUCCGAGCGUUAUCCGGAAUUAUUGGGUUUAAAGGGUCCGUAGGCGGGCGAUUAAGUCAGUGGUGAAAGUCUGCAGCUCAACUGUAGAACUGCCUUUGAUACUGAUCGUCUUGAGUUAUAGUGAAGUUGCCGGAAUAUGUAGUGUAGCGGUGAAAUGCAUAGAUAUUACAUAGAACACCGAUUGCGAAGGCAGGUGACUAACUAUAUACUGACGCUGAUGGACGAAAGCGUGGGGAGCGAACAGGAUUAGAUACCCUGGUAGUCCACGCCGUAAACGAUGGAUACUAGCUGUCCGGGAUGCAGUCGAGUGCAGUCGAGUGCAGUCGAGAUAAGUAU
RNAcentral lists this ribosomal RNA (818 nucleotides) under uncultured Flavobacteriaceae bacterium. RNAcentral describes it as "bacterial SSU rRNA". It matches the Rfam family "Bacterial small subunit ribosomal RNA", at positions 56 to 867 of the family's 1533-position model. Lineage: Bacteria; Pseudomonadati; Bacteroidota; Flavobacteriia; Flavobacteriales; Flavobacteriaceae. The record is from RNAcentral.